CUUCUCUGUGGAUGGUCACAGGUCUCCUAGUCCAUCAUGGACGAUACAUCAAUGUGUGCAAGCAACGGAAGCACGUAAAGCGAGAUGACCCAUUUGCCAGAACUGGAUGUUUCUUGGAGCUCCUUCCCAAUUCCAUACCCAGGCGAUACAUGGCGUCAUCACUGGACACCAAAGGAAGGGAGAACUCAGUUUUUACUCUGUUUUCUUGUUUGUCCGGGCGAUAUCUCAGCCAUCCUUUGAGCUCGGAAGCUGAAGUUUGAGAACAAAUAUGAAGAUGUGCUUUGACAAAAAAAAGGUAUUGAGUGAGGCUGCUCGAAGAGCGAAACAAAAGGCAAAGACACCAACGCAACAUAAAUUGAGCAGUCGGGAACAGGUGGACAAGGGACAGCUAAAUAAGAACAGACAUUAGACAGACGAAAGACACCAAAGUUUUUUUUUCAAUAUAUGAUUAUAUAUAAUUAGCAAGGAAAUUUUUCUGACUAAUUAUACACAUCAAUAUAUUCAAAAGUAAAGUGUUCUUGGACUAUGAGUAAUCCCACUCUGGGAACUUGUUGAACAUCCGGUGUAAUGUAAGAAUGCAUGAAAAGAGCAUUACAUAACUUCGCUCAUACAAAAACGUGGACUACUAAAAUAUUCCGCAUUACAUUCAGUACUUUUAACGAUAUAUUACAGGAAGUACUUUAACUUUAGGAGAAACUUAAAUGUGGUUUAAUUUCGAGUUUUAUUUCGAACUGUUCAACUUAGAAAGAACUACAUUUCACAUUUGAUUAAGCCAAGACAAAAAGUAAUUCCAUUGAAGAAGUCACUCUUGUUUGCAUAAUGCUUCAGUGCCUGGACUAUUUUGAUAACAGAGAAUAAAGAUUUGUGAGUCUGCAAAAUAUGUUCAAUUAUGUCAGUCAGCGGAUGCUCCUUGGCAAGGAAACAGCAUUUCCGUGGCAUUUCUACCUCCA
This 950-nucleotide long non-coding RNA is filed under the name Eptatretus burgeri (inshore hagfish). RNAcentral's name for it is "lncRNA (ENSEBUG00000017306.1)". The record is from RNAcentral. Lineage: Eukaryota; Metazoa; Chordata; Myxini; Myxiniformes; Myxinidae.